RNAcentral lists this ribosomal RNA (223 nucleotides) under Klebsiella aerogenes. RNAcentral's name for it is "partial 23S ribosomal RNA". It matches the Rfam family "Bacterial large subunit ribosomal RNA", at positions 778 to 998 of the family's 2925-position model. Lineage: Bacteria; Pseudomonadati; Pseudomonadota; Gammaproteobacteria; Enterobacterales; Enterobacteriaceae. The record is from RNAcentral. RNAcentral also lists the same sequence under 10 other names.
ACCGACUAAUGUUGAAAAAUUAGCGGAUGACUUGUGGCUGGGGGUGAAAGGCCAAUCAAACCGGGAGAUAGCUGGUUCUCCCCGAAAGCUAUUUAGGUAGCGCCUCGUGAACUCAUCUUCGGGGGUAGAGCACUGUUUCGGCUAGGGGGUCAUCCCGACUUACCAACCCGAUGCAAACUACGAAUACCGAAGAAUGUUAUCACGGGAGACACACGGCGGGUGC